RNAcentral lists this transfer RNA (80 nucleotides) under Candidatus Endomicrobiellum incisitermitis. Its description in RNAcentral is "tRNA-Val". Lineage: Bacteria; Pseudomonadati; Elusimicrobiota; Endomicrobiia; Endomicrobiales; Endomicrobiaceae. The record is from RNAcentral.
GGGCAGUUAGCUCAGCAGGGAGAGCAUUCUCCUUACAAGUUAAGAGGUCGCAGAUUAUUCAAUCCAUGCACUGCCUACCA